This 376-nucleotide ribosomal RNA is filed under the name uncultured eukaryote. RNAcentral's name for it is "partial 18S ribosomal RNA". It matches the Rfam family "Eukaryotic small subunit ribosomal RNA", at positions 592 to 976 of the family's 1831-position model. The record is from RNAcentral.
CAAGAGCGUAUAUUAAAGUUGCUGCGGUUAAAAAGCUCGUAGUUGGAUUUCAGUCUAGGAAGGUUAACUCGCCGAAAGGUUGUACGUUGAUUUUCCUCAGACUUCGUCAGAAGCUCGUGCUGCACUUAACUGUGUGGUACGAUGUUCUGACCUUUUACCUUGAGGAAAGUAGAGUGUUUCAGGCAGGCGACCCAGCUUGAAUACAUUAGCAUGGAAUAAUGAAAUGGAUCUCGGUUCGAUUUCGUUGGUUCUAGAGCUGAGGUGAUGAUCAAUAGGAACAGGCGAAGGUAUUCGUACUUGAGAGUGAGGAGUGAAAUCCGAUGAUCUCUUAAAGACGAUCCGAGGCGAAGGCAUUUGUCAAGGAUGUUUUCAUUGA